RNAcentral lists this ribosomal RNA (1558 nucleotides) under Klebsiella quasipneumoniae. RNAcentral's name for it is "partial 23S ribosomal RNA". It matches the Rfam family "Bacterial large subunit ribosomal RNA", at positions 1281 to 2823 of the family's 2925-position model. Lineage: Bacteria; Pseudomonadati; Pseudomonadota; Gammaproteobacteria; Enterobacterales; Enterobacteriaceae. The record is from RNAcentral.
AUCAGAAGUGCGAAUGCUGACAUAAGUAACGAUAAAGCGGGUGAAAAGCCCGCUCGCCGGAAGACCAAGGGUUCCUGUCCAACGUUAAUCGGGGCAGGGUGAGUCGACCCCUAAGGCGAGGCCGAAAGGCGUAGUCGAUGGGAAACAGGUUAAUAUUCCUGUACUUGGUGUUACUGCGAAGGGGGGACGGAGAAGGCUAUGUUAGCCGGGCGACGGUUGUCCCGGUUUAAGCAUGUAGGCUGGUUAUCCAGGCAAAUCCGGAUAAUCAAGGCUGAGGUGUGAUGACGAGGCACUACGGUGCUGAAGUAACAAAUGCCCUGCUUCCAGGAAAAGCCUCUAAGCAUCAGGUAACAUCAAAUCGUACCCCAAACCGACACAGGUGGUCAGGUAGAGAAUACCAAGGCGCUUGAGAGAACUCGGGUGAAGGAACUAGGCAAAAUGGUGCCGUAACUUCGGGAGAAGGCACGCUGGUGUGUAGGUGAAGUCCCUGCGGAUGGAGCUGAGACCAGUCGAAGAUACCAGCUGGCUGCAACUGUUUAUUAAAAACACAGCACUGUGCAAACACGAAAGUGGACGUAUACGGUGUGACGCCUGCCCGGUGCCGGAAGGUUAAUUGAUGGGGUUAUCCGUAAGGAGAAGCUCUUGAUCGAAGCCCCGGUAAACGGCGGCCGUAACUAUAACGGUCCUAAGGUAGCGAAAUUCCUUGUCGGGUAAGUUCCGACCUGCACGAAUGGCGUAAUGAUGGCCAGGCUGUCUCCACCCGAGACUCAGUGAAAUUGAACUCGCUGUGAAGAUGCAGUGUACCCGCGGCAAGACGGAAAGACCCCGUGAACCUUUACUAUAGCUUGACACUGAACAUUGAGCCUUGAUGUGUAGGAUAGGUGGGAGGCUUUGAAGCGUGGACGCCAGUCUGCGUGGAGCCAACCUUGAAAUACCACCCUUUAAUGUUUGAUGUUCUAACGUUGGCCCCUUAUCGGGGUUGCGGACAGUGUCUGGUGGGUAGUUUGACUGGGGCGGUCUCCUCCCAAAGCGUAACGGAGGAGCACGAAGGUUAGCUAAUCCUGGUCGGACAUCAGGAGGUUAGUGCAAUGGCAUAAGCUAGCUUGACUGCGAGCGUGACGGCGCGAGCAGGUGCGAAAGCAGGUCAUAGUGAUCCGGUGGUUCUGAAUGGAAGGGCCAUCGCUCAACGGAUAAAAGGUACUCCGGGGAUAACAGGCUGAUACCGCCCAAGAGUUCAUAUCGACGGCGGUGUUUGGCACCUCGAUGUCGGCUCAUCACAUCCUGGGGCUGAAGUAGGUCCCAAGGGUAUGGCUGUUCGCCAUUUAAAGUGGUACGCGAGCUGGGUUUAGAACGUCGUGAGACAGUUCGGUCCCUAUCUGCCGUGGGCGCUGGAGAAUUGAGGGGGGCUGCUCCUAGUACGAGAGGACCGGAGUGGACGCAUCACUGGUGUUCGGGUUGUCAUGCCAAUGGCACUGCCCGGUAGCUAAAUGCGGAAGAGAUAAGUGCUGAAAGCAUCUAAGCACGAAACUUGCCCCGAGAUGAGUUCUCCCUGAGACUU